RNAcentral lists this ribosomal RNA (408 nucleotides) under uncultured bacterium. Its description in RNAcentral is "bacterial SSU rRNA". It matches the Rfam family "Bacterial small subunit ribosomal RNA", at positions 355 to 775 of the family's 1533-position model. The record is from RNAcentral.
UGGGGAAUCUUGCACAAUGGGCGAAAGCCUGAUGCAGCGACGCCGCGUGGGGGAUGAAGGCCCUCGGGUUGUAAACCCCUUUCGACGGGGAAGAAGCGAAAGUGACGGUACCCGUAGAAGAAGCCCCGGCUAACUACGUGCCAGCAGCCGCGGUAAGACGUAGGGGGCGAGCGUUGUCCGGAUUUACUGGGCGUAAAGCGCGCGCAGGCGGCCCGUUAAGUCGGAUGUGAAAACCUGGGGCUCAACCCCAGGCGUGCACCCGAUACUGGCGGGCUGGAGGCAGGUAGGGGAGAGUGGAAUUCCCGGUGUAGCGGUGAAAUGCGCAGAUAUCGGGAGGAACACCGGUGGCGAAGGCGGCUCUCUGGGCCUGUCCUGACGCUCAUGCGCGAAAGCUAGGGGAGCAAACAG